UGAAACAAGGGGAAGACUCACAUAGGGGCAGCAGUAGAGAAUCUUGUGCAAUAUACGAAAGUAUGACACAGAGAGCACAUAUUGAGCCCGUCAAAUUAAGUGCCAGCCGACGCGGUUAGACUUAAGGGCUGGUCUUUAUAAGUAAAAAGGCGUAAAGGAUGUGUAGGCCAAAUAAUUACUAAGAGGUAGAUGGAAUUUUUCUGGAGCGGUAGAAUGCGAGGAUAGAAAAUAGAACCCCUAAAGUAAAAACAAUCUACCACAGCACAGGCUGAAACAUGAAAGUGUGGGGAGCAAACAGGAUUAGAGACCCUGGUAGUCCACCCAGUGAACAUUGAAGAUUAUGCUCGGCAGCCCCGAAAGGUAAAAUCUUCCGCCUGAGUAGUACGAUCGCAAGAUUAAAAUUCAAAAACUUUGGCUGUCCACAACAUCGAUUAGAGGAGCGUGUAGUUUAAUUCGAUGGUCCGCGCGAAACCUCACCCCAACUUGAAUCUGUGACCGGUAUUGCAUGGCCGUCGUAAGUCCGUGUGUUAAGCUAAAAGGGACCCAACCCCGAUCGGGAGGAAGUCAGGUCUUAUGAUCCUAAUGUUGGGGGAUACUAUGCGCUACAUUUUCUUAUACAAUGGGAGGCUGGGAAGUGAAACCCAAAAGUAAGAGUUCGGAAGGUCGCUGUAAAACGACCAGAAGUUGGAUUUAAUAGUAAUCGGAAAGUAGAGCGUUCCGGUGAAUCGGUACAAGUGUUAGCACAAAUUGCCCGUCACCUUUACCUAGAAUGGUUGUUCGGACGCCUUCGGUGGUUACGAGCGCCUACGAGGUAAAGCAAGUCGUAACAU
This 830-nucleotide ribosomal RNA is filed under the name Actinernus elongatus. Its description in RNAcentral is "partial 12S small subunit ribosomal RNA". It matches the Rfam family "Bacterial small subunit ribosomal RNA", at positions 320 to 1494 of the family's 1533-position model. Lineage: Eukaryota; Metazoa; Cnidaria; Anthozoa; Actiniaria; Actinernidae. The record is from RNAcentral.